This 253-nucleotide ribosomal RNA is filed under the name uncultured bacterium. Its description in RNAcentral is "partial 16S ribosomal RNA". It matches the Rfam family "Bacterial small subunit ribosomal RNA", at positions 524 to 776 of the family's 1533-position model. The record is from RNAcentral.
UACGUAGGUGGCAAGCGUUGUCCGGAUUUACUGGGCGUAAAGAGCGCGCAGGCGGUCGUUCAAGUCGCGUGUGAAAGCCCCCGGCUCAACUGGGGAGGGUCACGCGAUACUGAUCGACUCGAAGGCAGGAGAGGGUAGUGGAACUCCCGGUGUAGUGGUGAAAUGCGUAGAUAUCCGGAGGAACACCAGCGGCGAAGGCGGCAUCCUGGACUGGUCCUGACACUCAGGAGCGAAAGCGUGGGGAGCGAUCCGG